This 449-nucleotide ribosomal RNA is filed under the name Anoxybacillus kestanbolensis. RNAcentral's name for it is "bacterial SSU rRNA". It matches the Rfam family "Bacterial small subunit ribosomal RNA", at positions 335 to 776 of the family's 1533-position model. Lineage: Bacteria; Bacillati; Bacillota; Bacilli; Caryophanales; Anoxybacillaceae. The record is from RNAcentral.
ACUCCUACGGGAGGCAGCAGUAGGGAAUCUUCCGCAAUGGAGGAAAGUCUGACGGAGCCACGCCGCGUGAGCGAAGAAGGCCUUCGGGUCGUAAAGUUCUGUUGUUAGGGAAGAACAAGUAACGCUGUAACGCGCGUCACAGUGACGGUACAUACCGAGAAAGCCCCGGCUAACUACGUGCCAGCAGCCGCGGUAAUACGUAGGUGGCGAGCGUUGUCCGGAAUUAUUGGGCGUAAAGCGCGCGCAGGCGGUUCCUUAAGUCUGAUGUGAAAUCCCCCGGCUCAACCGUGGAGGGUCAUUGGAAACUGGGGGACUUGAGUGCAGAAGAGGAGAGCGGAAUUCCAGGUGUAGCGGUGAAAUGCGUAGAGAUGUGGAGGAACACCAGUGGCGAAGGCGGCUCUCUGGUCAAAAACUGACGCUCAGGUGCGAAAGCGUGGGGAGCAAACAGG